Molecule: ribosomal RNA, 996 nt
Filed under: uncultured bacterium
Lineage: Bacteria
Description: bacterial SSU rRNA
Rfam family: Bacterial small subunit ribosomal RNA
Source: RNAcentral
UGCCAGCAGCCGCGGUAAUACGGAGGGUGCGAGCGUUAAUCGGAAUUACUGGGCGUAAAGCGCAUGCAGGUGGUUUGUUAAGUCAGAUGUGAAAGCCCGGGGCUCAACCUCGGAAUUGCAUUUGAAACUGGCAAACUAGAGUACUGUAGAGGGGGGUAGAAUUUCAGGUGUAGCGGUGAAAUGCGUAGAGAUCUGAAGGAAUACCGGUGGCGAAGGCGGCCCCCUGGACAGAUACUGACACUCAGAUGCGAAAGCGUGGGGAGCAAACAGGAUUAGAUACCCUGGUAGUCCACGCCGUAAACGAUGUCUACUUGGAGGUUGUGGCCUUGAGCCGUGGCUUUCGGAGCUAACGCGUUAAGUAGACCGCCUGGGGAGUACGGUCGCAAGAUUAAAACUCAAAUGAAUUGACGGGGGCCCGCACAAGCGGUGGAGCAUGUGGUUUAAUUCGAUGCAACGCGAAGAACCUUACCUACUCUUGACAUCUACAGAAGCCAGCGGAGACGCAGGUGUGCCUUCGGGAACUGUAAGACAGGUGCUGCAUGGCUGUCGUCAGCUCGUGUUGUGAAAUGUUGGGUUAAGUCCCGCAACGAGCGCAACCCUUAUCCUUGUUUGCCAGCACUUCGGGUGGGAACUCCAGGGAGACUGCCGGUGAUAAACCGGAGGAAGGUGGGGACGACGUCAAGUCAUCAUGGCCCUUACGAGUAGGGCUACACACGUGCUACAAUGGCGCAUACAGAGGGCGGCCAACUUGCGAAAGUGAGCGAAUCCCAAAAAGUGCGUCGUAGUCCGGAUUGGAGUCUGCAACUCGACUCCAUGAAGUCGGAAUCGCUAGUAAUCGUGGAUCAGAAUGCCACGGUGAAUACGUUCCCGGGCCUUGUACACACCGCCCGUCACACCAUGGGAGUGGGCUGCAAAAGAAGUGGGUAGUUUAACCUUCGGGAGGACGCUCACCACUUUGUGGUUCAUGACUGGGGUGAAGUCGUAACAAGGUAACCG